This 386-nucleotide long non-coding RNA is filed under the name Lupinus angustifolius (narrow-leaved blue lupine). Its description in RNAcentral is "long non-coding RNA (LANG_LNC002904)". Lineage: Eukaryota; Viridiplantae; Streptophyta; Magnoliopsida; Fabales; Fabaceae. The record is from RNAcentral.
UACUUUGCUGGUUCCAAAAUUUUUUAUUGAGAAAACACUCUGCCAAACGCGUAGCCACUGUGAGAGAGAUUCAUUUUUGUUCUGAGUGAUCUUGUGCAGCCACGCGCACGGUAACAUUGUGCGCUCGUUUGUCGUGCCAUUACCGUUGUUGGAUCUGCAUACUUUGUUUCACAAACCGAAAACGCAUGUGGUUGCAUCAUAAAGCGCUACACUGAAUCAUCAACCCGUGAAGAACACGGGAUCCACUAUGGACAGGUGUACUGAAAACUCCCGUGCAACCUCCAGAACAAUCAGUCCACACGCGCCACGUGUCCAGGCGCGGUAAACCCUCUAAUCCGUAUCUGACAGGUGUCAAGCCCUUUUCCAGCCGCUGCACCAGAUCCAAA